This 253-nucleotide ribosomal RNA is filed under the name uncultured bacterium. Its description in RNAcentral is "partial 16S ribosomal RNA". It matches the Rfam family "Bacterial small subunit ribosomal RNA", at positions 524 to 776 of the family's 1533-position model. The record is from RNAcentral.
UACGUAGGUGGCAAGCGUUAUCCGGAAUUACUGGGCGUAAAGCGCACGCAGGCGGCUAGUCAAGUUCGACGUGAAAUCUCCCGGCUCAACUGGGAGGGGUCAUUCGAUACUGGCGGGCUCGAGGCCGGUAGGGGGAAGCGGAAUUCCCGGUGUAGUGGUGGAAUGCGUAGAUAUCGGGAGGAACACCAGUGGCGAAGGCGGCUUCCUGGACCGGUUCUGACACUGAGGAGCGAAAGCGUGGGGAGCGAUCCGG